This 223-nucleotide ribosomal RNA is filed under the name uncultured bacterium. RNAcentral's name for it is "partial 16S ribosomal RNA". It matches the Rfam family "Bacterial small subunit ribosomal RNA", at positions 15 to 228 of the family's 1533-position model. The record is from RNAcentral.
GAUCAUGGCUCAGGAUGGACGCUGGCGGCGUGCCUAAUACAUGCAAGUAGGACGCUGAAGCUUGGUGCUUGCACCGAGCGGAUGAGUUGCGAACGGGUGAGUAACGCGUAGGUAACCUGCCUCUUAGCGGGGGAUAACUAUUGGAAACGAUAGCUAAUACCGCAUAAAAGUCGACAUUGCAUGAUGUUGACUUGAAAGGUGCAAUUGCAUCACUAAGAUAUGG